This 214-nucleotide ribosomal RNA is filed under the name Aspergillus neotritici. RNAcentral's name for it is "partial 28S ribosomal RNA". It matches the Rfam family "Eukaryotic large subunit ribosomal RNA", at positions 1 to 213 of the family's 3401-position model. The record is from RNAcentral. Lineage: Eukaryota; Fungi; Ascomycota; Eurotiomycetes; Eurotiales; Aspergillaceae.
UUGACCUCGGAUCAGGUAGGGAUACCCGCUGAACUUAAGCAUAUCAAUAAGCGGAGGAAAAGAAACCAACCGGGAUUGCCUCAGUAACGGCGAGUGAAGCGGCAAGAGCUCAAAUUUGAAAGCUGGCUCCUUCGGGGUCCGCAUUGUAAUUUGCAGAGGAUGCUUCGGGUGCGGCCCCUGUCUAAGUGCCCUGGAACGGGCCGUCAGAGAGGGU